AAGGAAGUUGACAUGUCAUCACUUCAUUUUUUUGCGCCUGCGCAUAAAUCUGAGAAACGUGAGUUUUGUCUUCAUUGUUUAUCUCGACAUAGGAUAGGUUGUGUGAAAAUAUUACUGAUGUUUAACGUUAAAAAUGGACCAAAAGAUUAAUGCUAAACAACAUUUGACAUGUUUGAACGAACAUAAAUAGAUUAUUUACUAGGUUUUUUUAGCUUUUCGGCGUGAUUUUACAGUCCCCCACCACGUUUUGUGGGAGCAUAAUGAACGCUAAGUACUUGGUGUUAUUUGGACAUAAAUUAUGAACUUUGUCAAAAGAAACCACAUUUUUUCCGGACCUGGGAUGCCUUCCGGACCUGGGAUGCCUGUCUUCUGAUGGAGAUAAUCAAAGCACAAUAAGCCUUGGCAAACAUUAACCCAUUUCGACAAGUUCAUUGGUUUCUUCAGCACCUUCUCCAUCCAACAGUGAUCCCCCUGGCUAGUUGAAAGCUGGCAGACGGGCUGCAUUCCCUCUGAAACAGAGAGACGCAGGAUAUCCAAACAAGUUUCUUCAGUUCUGAUUGCCAUCACUCCAGCUCCCCUCAUCAUCCCUCCUUCAUCACACACAUCAACACCUCAACCCUUAACUCCUCACAUUUUCUCCCAACUCUUACACAAAUUGCAACCAUCGAUACCCAUCGAAGGUGCAAUCCAAUUUGUUCUCUCCUCUCUCAUCUCUCCAACCGUCUCCUCCCUCCCCUGUUUCCUCCAUCCCACCACCUCCUCCACUUCCGUCUCCCCUCUCCACUUGUUUUUCACUUUCUGAUGAUUCCUCCUCAUCUUUCACUGCAACAAUGACUAUUAUUCACAUUCUUUGGCUCCACAAAUGAUCGUUCCUGCACCCCUUUUUCAACUGACUCUUGCCUGUCAGCGCUUUAACCCUUGGCCCUCUGCUGGGUUUUCGGCAUUUAUUGUUCCCCCAUGUUUCACCAUUCAUAGUUGGUAUUGUGACCUGAAACUCUGACUAUGAAAAAGGAACUGCUUAUUCAGGUUUACAUAUUAACUUGACAACUGGCUGAUCUGCCACGGAUGAUUUAGGGAAAACUAGAUUUGUGAAACAGAUUUGAACUAGGUUGGAUUUGAAAGUUGUCUAAACAACUUGUUGACAACAUUUGUCCUUUAGAUCAAGUUUGUCAGGAUGACAUGAGAACCCUUACCAUGUGAGUACGGGACUCCUGUGGAUAUCUUAAAUGUUAUUAUUUUUCACAAACCAGAGCGAUGCAGGGGACUUUUCCCCAUGUCUAAUUACAGUGCAUUGUGGGAUUUUAUUUCAUCCUGAAGGAAAACAUAUGGCAUCAGAAGUGAUGUGUUACCAACUAAAUGGCCCAUGAACAUUGUGUCCUGACCACUUAGGACCACAUUCCUAAAAGAGAAAAAUCUUCACUCUCUCUAUUAAUGUUUUCUUUUCAAAACCUCCUGUGGGGACUUCUUCUAGGUUGGAGGAGAGAAGUAAUUGGCUUAGGAUGGUAAUGUCAACCUUCUCUCACUAAUUUAGUUGAUGAUGAGUCAAGUCAUGUCCUUAUUGGUUUCAGGGUUAUAUUCUAGCUGGACGUCAUGUUUUCGAUAAUCUAUAUCAUUUGGCAUCUUGUCAUUUGACUCCGUUUGGAAACAUAUUAAAAUGAACAUGUGGACAAAUGACUGUGAGGAGAUGAAUGUUACUGCAAUUCUCUCAUUUACUAACGGAGUUCAUCAACCGCUUGUCAGCAAGGGGUUUCAUUGACAUAUUCUCCAUGAUGGACAGCCAAUCAUAACACACUACUCCAGCUCAUUGUGACACGCUCUGACAUUAUCAAUACGAGAUGAGGUAAUGUUGAACAUUGCUAAUUCUCAGUUUGUAAUUGCUUAAAAGAAACACGGACGGUCGACACAUGAGAUACAUAGUAAUGAGAUAAUACUGCUAGAUGUUUAAAGGAAAGACGGAAGCCGUCUACACUAUGGUUGUCACGUCCUGACCAGUAAAAGCGGUCAUUUGUCAUUGUAGUAUGGUCAGGGCGUGGCAGGGGGUGUUGUUUUGGUGUGUUUUGAGGUUGGUUUGUUUCAUGGGGAUUUGUUCUAGUUUUCAUUUUCUAUGUGUGGCCAAGAAUGGUUUCCGAUCAGAGGCAGGUGUCUUUCGUUGUCUCUGAUUGGAAGCCAUACUUAGGCAGCCUGUUUUUUCCUUUGGGUUUGUGGGUGGUUGUUUUCUGUAUAGUCUGUGCACCUUACGGAACUGUUUUGUCGUAUUGUUUAUUUUUUUGGUUAAGUGUUAACGUUAAUAAAAGAAGAUGAGCACUUUACACGCUGCGCCUUGGUCCAAUCCUUCCGACAGAUGUGACAAUGGUGAGCCUUGUGUGCUUAAAAACCUCCAUCAUUAAUUAAUAUAACCAUAGUUUUGAGAAUUGAUGCAUUUACGCCUGCAAUGUUUGCUGACGGCUUUACUUAGUUCGACAUUGACACCCAUUAAAGCUCAAUUAAUGUGUAUUUAAUUAAUUUACAUGGUUGGGAAACUUUAGCAAUUAGCAUGACAUGGCAAUGAACACCGUAAUAUGCCUUGUCUCUCAUGACGUACACUUCUGAGAUUCCGCAGUACAUUAAUGCGUCUGAAUAUUAUUCUGAAAUUUAAGUUCAACUCCAAACCUCCUAAUCAAGAGCAGUGUUGCGUUCAGCUGAUUUAUUGUUUUGAAUUUGCAUAGCUUCUCACAUUGCACAGAGGGUUGUAUUGUAGGUGGUGGAGUAGAUGACAGUACUAUACAAUGGUGUAAA
This 2775-nucleotide long non-coding RNA is filed under the name Salmo salar (Atlantic salmon). RNAcentral describes it as "lncRNA (ENSSSAG00000114792.1)". Lineage: Eukaryota; Metazoa; Chordata; Actinopteri; Salmoniformes; Salmonidae. The record is from RNAcentral.